This 451-nucleotide ribosomal RNA is filed under the name Stenomantis novaeguineae. RNAcentral's name for it is "partial 16S ribosomal RNA". It matches the Rfam family "Bacterial large subunit ribosomal RNA", at positions 1941 to 2600 of the family's 2925-position model. The record is from RNAcentral. Lineage: Eukaryota; Metazoa; Arthropoda; Insecta; Mantodea; Liturgusidae.
UUUGACUGUGCAAAGGUAGCAUAAUCAUUAGUCUUUUAAUUAAAGGCUGGAAUGAAUGGUUGGACGAGGUAAAUUACUAUCUUAUAAGUAAUUUUUAUUGAAUUUAGGAGUUGAGUGAAAACACUCAAAUUUUAUUAAGGGACGAGAAGACCCUAUAGAGUUUAAUAUGUUAAGUGUUGAUUGAGUUAUAAAUUUAAUUUUUGGUUAAUAUGAUAUAUAUUUAGUUGGGGUGACUGAAAGAUAAGAAGAACUCUUUUUGUUUAUGAAUAAUAUAAUUAGAUAGGGGAUCCAUAUAUAAUGAUUAUAAGAUUAAAUUACCUUAGGGAUAACAGCAUAAUUCUUUUUAAGAGUUCUUAUCGAAAGAAGAGAUUGUGACCUCGAUGUUGGAUUAAGAUAAAUUUUGGGUGUAGAUGUUUAAUAAUUAGGUCUGUUCGACCUUUAAAUUCUUACA